GACGAACGCUGGCGGCGUGCUUAACACAUGCAAGUCGAACGGAAAGGCCCCUUUUGGGGUACUCGAGUGGCGCACGGGGGCGUAACACGUGAGUAACCUGCCCUUGACUUCGGGAUAACUUCAGGAAACUGGGGCUAAUACCGGCUAGGAAUCCUUGCUGCAUGGUGGGGGUUGGAAAGCUUCGGCGGUUUUGGAUGGACUCGCGGCUUAUCAGCUUGUUGGUGGGGUAGUGGCUUACCAAGGCUUUGACGGGUAGCCGGCCUGAGAGGGCGACCGGCCACAUUGGGACUGAGAUACGGCCCAGACUCCUACGGGAGGCAGCAGUGGGGAAUAUUGCACAAUGGGCGGAAGCCUGAUGCAGCAACGCCGCGUGCGGGAUGACGGCCUUCGGGUUGUAAACCGCUUUCAGCAGGGGCGAAGCUUGUGGUGACGGUACCUGCAGAAGAAGCACCGGCUAACUACGUG
This 465-nucleotide ribosomal RNA is filed under the name uncultured bacterium. RNAcentral's name for it is "partial 16S ribosomal RNA". It matches the Rfam family "Bacterial small subunit ribosomal RNA", at positions 28 to 507 of the family's 1533-position model. The record is from RNAcentral.